CCUGAAGAAUCUGGUGAACCCAGGGACGUUGAUGUCGGCGGCGUUUUCCGGCUCUCCACAGUAAUCCUGCCUGCCUGACCUGCACCAGUCCAACGGCCCCCACCCUGGCUGAUUUAGUUUUCUUGGCUUUGAUCUUCUACCUGUCUGACCCGGAGAACUUGGACCUUCCUAGCUGUUACUUUGGAUCACCCGGACCUGACCAUCGCCUGUCUGACCAAGAGAGACUUAUCAAUAAAGUCACUGCUUGGUCUCAGUGUCCAUCCGUGCUUGAAGCGUGACAUCGUAUGUGGCAGACUUCGCUCACAACAUAGUGCUUCCAGAGUGCUCCAGGUCUAGGUCUCCAAGCUUUUGCCCACAGAUGUUUAUCCUGACCAGGAAAAAUCACCAGGUAAAUCUUCACUUUCUGAACUCAAAGGUGAAGCUUUGCUGUUGCUACUUUUGUUGAUGGUGAAUAGUGUGUUAUGC
This is a long non-coding RNA of Girardinichthys multiradiatus, 465 nucleotides long. RefSeq lists it as uncharacterized. NCBI's taxonomy places the organism in Eukaryota, Metazoa, Chordata, Actinopteri, Cyprinodontiformes, Goodeidae. The transcript is spliced from 3 exons. The record is from RefSeq and is a predicted model, not a curated record.